This 360-nucleotide unclassified non-coding RNA is filed under the name soil metagenome. Its description in RNAcentral is "partial contains 5.8S ribosomal RNA, internal transcribed spacer 2, and large subunit ribosomal RNA". The stretch from base 1 to 120 matches the Rfam family "5.8S ribosomal RNA", at positions 35 to 154 of the family's 154-position model. The record is from RNAcentral.
GAUGAAGAACGCAGCGAAAUGCGAUAAGUAAUGCGAAUUGCAGAAUUCAGUGAAUCAUCGAAUCUUUGAACGCACAUUGCGCCCGCCAGUAUUCUGGCGGGCAUGCCUGUCUGAGCGUCGUUUCGACCCUCGCGCCCGGCUUCUGUCGGGGGCGGUGUUGGGGAUCGGCCACACCCUUCAGUGGGAGGCCGGCCCCUAAAUUCAGUGGCGACCACGCUGUAGCCUCCCCUGCGUAGUACUAAAACCACCUCGCAGGCGGAGAGCGGUGCGGCCCGCCGUAAAACCCCCCAACUUUUACAAGGUCGGCCUCAGAUCAGGUAGGAAUACCCGCUGAACUUAAGCAUAUCAAUAAGCGGAGGA